This 324-nucleotide long non-coding RNA is filed under the name Panax ginseng (ginseng). Its description in RNAcentral is "long non-coding RNA (PGIN_LNC014009)". The record is from RNAcentral. Lineage: Eukaryota; Viridiplantae; Streptophyta; Magnoliopsida; Apiales; Araliaceae.
CUACUUGAACAGACAUGCUUCGGGCACUAUCCGAUCAAGAGCUUCGAACAAACUCCAUGAUCGAGAUAAGUCCCGAGCAUAACUGACCAAGAGUUUAAUAAAUGCUUAGAGUACAGAUCUCGGGUUUAUCCGAUCAAGAGGUUCGGGCAGACACCACUGAUCGAGAUAAGUCCCGGGUAUAACUGUUGACGAUCCGACCAGAAGGUUCGGGUGGACAUAACUGCUCGAGAUCAGUCAUAAGUGAAACUGACAAUAAACAUCCAUGGGCAAAGAGUAUAUCUUAUUUAUACUUAGAAAAAUUUUACUUUACAAACCCGGUCACUU